UACAGAGGGUGCUAGCGUUGUUCGGAAUCAUUGGGCGUAAAGCGCGUGUAGGCGGCUUUGCAAGUCGGGUGUGAAAGCCCUCAGCUUAACUGAGGAAGUGCGCCCGAAACUGCAGAGCUUGAAUACCGGAGAGGAUGGCGGAAUUCCCCAAGUAGAGGUGAAAUUCGUAGAUAUGGGGAGGAACACCGGUGGCGAAGGCGGCCAUCUGGACGGCUAUUGACGCUGAGACGCGAAAGCGUGGGGAGCAAACAGG
RNAcentral lists this ribosomal RNA (253 nucleotides) under uncultured bacterium. RNAcentral's name for it is "partial 16S ribosomal RNA". It matches the Rfam family "Bacterial small subunit ribosomal RNA", at positions 524 to 776 of the family's 1533-position model. The record is from RNAcentral.